Molecule: long non-coding RNA, 567 nt
Organism: Pantherophis guttatus
Lineage: Eukaryota; Metazoa; Chordata; Lepidosauria; Squamata; Colubridae
Source: RefSeq, a predicted model, not a curated record
GGAGUUUGCUUUGUAAAACUACUUCCUGUUUAUAUUUAAUUAUAAAUACUUCUUAAAAAGUCAGGAUUCCAUAAAACCAUUUCCCUUCUGCCUUCAAAUCUUUCCUCAAGCCUUGUUUUUGUGAAGCUUUCAGCACAUCUGCUUCUCAUGCCUUGAUGGAGCUGCAUGUAAGCACACCCCAGCAUCUGCAGGUGAAGCCAUUUGUGGUAGUUCCCUAUUUAUAUUUUCAGAGAUUCCCUUUUCUGUGCUUUUUUUCACGUAUUAUCUUGUAAGCUCUGUGGAACUGACAUUUGUCUGCUUGUCCUCUGGAAAGUUCCAUGCCUAUCAUUCAUGAAAAAGAAGAACCACCCCAACAAACAUAAGGAUGAGGGUCAAGCCAAUUCUUGUUUCCUUUGCUUGAGGGGGGGAAAUUUUAUAAUAGCAAGGCUGAACUUGCCUGGACAGAGGGAUCCUCACAAAAUUGUCAAGGCAACAUUUUUCUUAAUCACAUCAUGUGUCUGGCCUAUCACUUCUGAAAGGUUUCCUGCCCUACUGCAAACUUCAACUUCGAAUAAAAGAAUGGCUCAA